Molecule: ribosomal RNA, 329 nt
Filed under: uncultured eukaryote
Lineage: Eukaryota
Description: partial 18S ribosomal RNA
Rfam family: Eukaryotic small subunit ribosomal RNA
Source: RNAcentral
CCCUUAGAUGUCCUGGGCCGCACGCGCGCUACACUGAGUGUCUGAGAUACGAGUCUGCCUGGUCCGGCAAGGUCUAGGUAAUCGCUAAAAGACACAUCAUGCUUGGGAUAGAUUAUUGCAAAUAUUAAUCUUGAACGAGGAAUUCCUAGUAAGCGCAAGUCAACAGCUUGCGUUGAUUACGUCCCUGCCCUUUGUACACACCGCCCGUUGCUACUACUGAUUGGAUGUUUAAGCGAGGUUCUCGAACUGCUAGCGACUUAGCUUCGGUGAGGUCGCAGUGUGGGAAGUGAACCUAGCUUUGGUGUCUAGAGGAAGUAAAAGUCGUAACA